UGAGGAAUAUUGGUCAAUGGGCGCAAGCCUGAACCAGCCAUCCCGCGUGCAGGAAGACGGCGCUAUGCGUUGUAAACUGCUCUUCCAAGGGGAGAAACUUGCGCACGUGUUGCGCAAUUGACGGUACCCUGGGAAUAAGCAUCGGCUAACUCCGUGCCAGCAGUCGCGGUAAUACGGAGGAUGCGAGCGUUAUCCGGAUUCAUUGGGUUUAAAGGGUGCGUAGGCGGACUAUUAAGUCAGUGGUGAAAUCCUGCAGCUUAACUGCAGAACUGCCAUUGAUACUGAUAGCCUUGAGUUUGGUUAAGGUAGGCGGAAUGUGUAAUGUAGCGGUGAAAUGCUUAGAUAUUACACAGAACACCAAUUGCGUAGGCAGCUUACUGAGCCGACACUGACGCUGAGGCACGAAAGCGUGGGGAUCGAACAG
Molecule: ribosomal RNA, 424 nt
Filed under: uncultured bacterium
Lineage: Bacteria
Description: bacterial SSU rRNA
Rfam family: Bacterial small subunit ribosomal RNA
Source: RNAcentral